This 567-nucleotide ribosomal RNA is filed under the name uncultured archaeon. RNAcentral describes it as "bacterial SSU rRNA". It matches the Rfam family "Archaeal small subunit ribosomal RNA", at positions 326 to 898 of the family's 1478-position model. The record is from RNAcentral.
CGGGGUGCAGCAGGCGCGAAACCUUUACAAUGCUGGCAACAGCGAUAGGGGGACCUCGAGUGCCAGGUUACAAAUCUGGCUGUCGUUGUGUCUAAAAAACACGAUAUAGCAAGGGCCGGGCAAGACCGGUGCCAGCCGCCGCGGUAACACCGGCGGCUCGAGUGGUAACCGUUAUUAUUGGGUUUAAAGGGUCUGUAGCCGGCCUGGUUAGUCCUUUGGGAAAUCCGGCAGCUCAACUGUCGGGCUUUCAGAGGAUACUGCCAGGCUCGAGACCGGGAGAGGUAAGAGGUACUUCAGGGGUAGGGGUGAAAUCUUGUAAUCCUUGAGGGACCACCAGUGGCGAAGGCGUCUUACCAGAACGGAUCUGACGGCAAGGGACGAAAGCUAGGGGCACGAACCGGAUUAGAUACCCGGGUAGUCCUAGCCGUAAACGAUACUCGCUAGGUGUCGGCCACGGUGCGACCGUGGUCGGUGCCGUAGGGAAACCGUGAAGCGAGCCACCUGGGAAGUACGGCCGCAAGGCUGAAACUUAAAGGAAUUGGCGGGGGAGCACAAGGGCGAAUUCGC